Long non-coding RNA from Xiphophorus maculatus (southern platyfish), 1157 nucleotides. RefSeq lists it as uncharacterized. The record is from RefSeq and is a predicted model, not a curated record. Lineage: Eukaryota; Metazoa; Chordata; Actinopteri; Cyprinodontiformes; Poeciliidae. The transcript has 3 exons.
CUGCGCAGGUGUUCGCAAUCAUUAGCUGCUCACCGUCACUCUGACCCUGGUAAUUGGAGGCAUCAUUGGCUGGAUGAGAGCUGUCUGAGACUGGGUUCCUCAGAUCUGGGCCUGGAAGGUUCCUGGUUCAACACACUUCAGUCAAAUAGCCUAAUUACACCCGCAGUAUGUAGGCAAGUUCUCAAGGAUCUAUCUUUCAGUUUUCUGAUUUGAAAAAGAUGUUUGAGCUCCUUCAGCUUAGCCUUGUUAGAAAAGACAUGGGAGGUUUUCAAACCCACAUCCCACACUGAACUCUAAUUCCGACAAAUUUAGAUUUCUUACAAAUGUUAACAAGGAUUUAACAGGACUUAUAAUUAUUCAUCAGCAAGAAGCACUGUUCCACUAAGGUGAAAUGGAGAUUAUGGAAGUAAUAAACGUUGCAGCUGAUGUUGUGAUGGCUUCCAUUACAGUCGCUCAAGCUAUAAUUAAUUCAGCGCCCAGCAGAGAAUGCAACAUUGAGAUCACAAAUUUCUCAGACCGCUACGUUCUCAAGAAUCCCGGGAUGUUCCUCUGCAGAGGAGUUUGUGUUAAACCUCUGCCAACAAGAAUUCUGCCAUCUGGAUGUGGAGGUGCGUUUUUUGCCAAGACGCCGCGGACACGAUUUGGAUUUUCUGGCGUCACCACCUAUGACCUUCUCAACAGCUCCACUGGAAAAAUCACUGAGCAAAUGGCCUUGUUUCUCAAGGUUCCUUAUGAUCUGAACUUUAAGGCAAAUGUAUACGCAGUGGGAGUUUUUGAUGUUUGCAAGGGAUGUAAUGUAAAUCUCCAUGAAGAAAUGGCAAAUAAAACAGACGUAACGUUUAUUAGAGGCAAUGCCAAGGGCCCCUCCUUGACUCAUAAAAGCAAAGAUGUAACCAUAAGUGCUACAAUGUCAGAGAGCUAUUCUUCUGUGAUAAAGGUGAACUUGAGUGACAACUAACUCUUUUGUUUUUUUAAAAUACCGUACGGUUAUCAGUUAUAGAUUAAGGUUAAACGGGUGAAACACCACACCAAACAUUAAGUUGCUUACUUUUAACAUUGGUGGGACUUUGAAAUAGGACAAAGAUGAAGACUUACGCAUGCCAAUAUCUCUAACAUGUUCAUUAAAGGGUUUUAUUUUUCAGCAUAAUUGCAAGUUC